AUACGCCAGGCGGGGAUCAUGAUGGAGCAGGUGAAGGCCAUCCGGGAGGCAAGCCAGGCAGCCUACGACGCCAGUUCUGCUCUUCAAAGCAAUGUUCAGAAAUCCUGCGACCUUGCGGCUCGUUAUACCGAGCUGGAGAACAAGCACAUCCAGCUCGAGCUGGAUCUGAAGCUGGUCCAGGAAAAUCUGACGAAGGCGAAGGAGGAGACCAAAGGCAAGGUGAAGGAGGCC
Triticum aestivum (bread wheat) is the source of this 231-nucleotide long non-coding RNA. RefSeq lists it as uncharacterized. Lineage: Eukaryota; Viridiplantae; Streptophyta; Magnoliopsida; Poales; Poaceae. The record is from RefSeq and is a predicted model, not a curated record. The transcript has 3 exons.